UACGGAGGGUGCGAACGUUAAUCGGAAUUACUGGGCGUAAAGCGCACGUAGGCGGCUCGUUAAGUGGGAUGUGAAAGCCCUGGGCUCAACCUGGGAACUGCAUUUCAGACUGGCGGGCUAGAGUACAGUAGAGGGGGGUGGAAUUCCCUGUGUAGCGGUGAAAUGCGUAGAUAUAGGGAGGAACAUCAGUGGCGAAGGCGGCCCCCUGGACUGAUACUGACGCUGAGGUGCGAAAGCGUGGGGAGCAAACAGG
RNAcentral lists this ribosomal RNA (253 nucleotides) under uncultured bacterium. RNAcentral's name for it is "partial 16S ribosomal RNA". It matches the Rfam family "Bacterial small subunit ribosomal RNA", at positions 524 to 776 of the family's 1533-position model. The record is from RNAcentral.